GAGGAAGCCGGUGCAAGUCCGGUGCGGUCGCGCCACUGUGAUCGGCCCACGGGCCGGGAGCCAGAGACUC
This 70-nucleotide non-coding RNA is filed under the name Patulibacter medicamentivorans. Lineage: Bacteria; Bacillati; Actinomycetota; Thermoleophilia; Solirubrobacterales; Patulibacteraceae. The record is from RNAcentral.